UGGUUCAAAAAUCAACUCGUGGAAGGAUUGUUGGGUUGGUUAUACUCCCCUCAGAUCUAUGUUACAUGGCCCUCUAUCUAGAUCAGAUAUUAAUCUCAAAGUUAAGGAUAUCCUUAACAAUGAUGGCACUUGGAACUUCUAUCAGCUCAAGGUUCGCCGGGAAGGGCGGGGCCAGGUGGUGUCCUUCGGAAUUGCUAAGGUGUUUGGGUUCGAGGAUUUUCUCGAUUUCUGGGCAUCUCCAAAAACUCGCUAGCUGAGCGUUGGGCACUGAGGGAUGGAUUGGUCUUAGCACGUGAAACGGGCAUCCCAGCUCUCGAGAUAGAGCCAGAUGCCAAGGUUCUUGACGGGGCACUUUGCGAGGAUUCGGAUGAAGCAUAUCUACCGCGAACCUAACUCGGUGGCUGAUUUUAUGGCUCGCUUGUCUAGGGAUGGAGUAGAUACUGCUCAGGAGUUUGUACUCUUUGAUGAACCUCCAAGUGGGGUUCUUGAACUAUUGUUUGCUGAUCUUAUCGGUGCUGCUAGCACUCGUUCUAUCUGUAUUAACACCCAUAUGGGAACCGACAUUGGCUAGUUAAUUUAAUAGACUUAUCCUUUUCAACCAAAAAAUAAAUAAAUAUAUAUACUGUUUGAUCGAAA
Molecule: non-coding RNA, 636 nt
Organism: Punica granatum (pomegranate)
Lineage: Eukaryota; Viridiplantae; Streptophyta; Magnoliopsida; Myrtales; Lythraceae
Source: RefSeq, a predicted model, not a curated record